RNAcentral lists this ribosomal RNA (497 nucleotides) under uncultured bacterium. RNAcentral's name for it is "partial 16S ribosomal RNA". It matches the Rfam family "Bacterial small subunit ribosomal RNA", at positions 28 to 507 of the family's 1533-position model. The record is from RNAcentral.
GAUGAACGCUGGCGGCGUGCCUAAUACAUGCAAGUCGAGCGAACAGACGAGGAGCUUGCUCCUCUGACGUUAGCGGCGGACGGGUGAGUAACACGUGGAUAACCUACCUAUAAGACUGGGAUAACUUCGGGAAACCGGAGCUAAUACCGGAUAAUAUAUUGAACCGCAUGGUUCAAUAGUGAAAGACGGUUUUGCUGUCACUUAUAGAUGGAUCCGCGCCGCAUUAGCUAGUUGGUAAGGUAACGGCUUACCAAGGCAACGAUGCGUAGCCGACCUGAGAGGGUGAUCGGCCACACUGGAACUGAGACACGGUCCAGACUCCUACGGGAGGCAGCAGUAGGGAAUCUUCCGCAAUGGGCGAAAGCCUGACGGAGCGACGCCGCGUGAGUGAUGAAGGUCUUCGGAUCGUAAAACUCUGUUAUUAGGGAAGAACAAAUGUGUAAGUAACUAUGCACGUCUUGACGGUACCUAAUCAGAAAGCAACGGCUAACUACGUG